UAAGUUUAUAUAUAGAUAGCUAUUAAAUACAUUUGACACUAUAAGGAGCUCUCUCUGCUUCUCUCCAUAGAGAGAGGAACAUUUGUGAGACAGUACACUAAUAUGGGGUCAAUGUUUUAAAUGCAGAUUUCAGCUACAGAAGCUACACCAGUGACAACUAUGAAUAUGGAUAUGACAACAAGCUUGGAAUUACAAGGUUGACAUCAAUGGCUGUAUUAAUAUGAGUAAAAAAACCACAACCAGGAGGCCUGAUAAUAUAUUUGUUGAAAAGCAAAGAAUAAAGAAAAUUAUAAUAAUAAUAAAAAGAGCAUCUCAGAAGCAAAGACUGCUAAAUAAUCAGAUAAUCAAAUGUGAACUUUAACACCUUUUUUUUUAUUGAAUGUUUCUGAUGUACUUUCUAUUAGGAAGAAUAUCACCAGACAAACACUCUUUAAGAAACUUGUACUUUGGCUGAAGGCUGAGACCAAGAAUUGUAGUUCUCAUAGAAAUUAUUAGAAGCUGUUUAAAAUAAUAAACAAAUGUGGAAAGAAUGAAAGUGAAUGACU
Molecule: long non-coding RNA, 545 nt
Filed under: Manacus vitellinus (golden-collared manakin)
Lineage: Eukaryota; Metazoa; Chordata; Aves; Passeriformes; Pipridae
Description: lncRNA (ENSMVIG00005002541.1)
Source: RNAcentral